GGUAGCUCAGUGGUAGAGUACAUGCUUAGCAUGCAUGAGACCUUGGUUCAAUCUCUAGUACCA
Molecule: transfer RNA, 63 nt
Filed under: Ictidomys tridecemlineatus (thirteen-lined ground squirrel)
Lineage: Eukaryota; Metazoa; Chordata; Mammalia; Rodentia; Sciuridae
Description: Spermophilus tridecemlineatus (thirteen-lined ground squirrel) tRNA
Rfam family: tRNA
About the family: Transfer RNA (tRNA) molecules are approximately 80 nucleotides in length. Their secondary structure includes four short double-helical elements and three loops (D, anti-codon, and T loops).
Source: Rfam by way of RNAcentral